Molecule: ribosomal RNA, 253 nt
Filed under: uncultured bacterium
Lineage: Bacteria
Description: partial 16S ribosomal RNA
Rfam family: Bacterial small subunit ribosomal RNA
Source: RNAcentral
GACGAACCGAGCGAACGUUGUUCGGAAUCAUUGGGCGUAAAGCGCACGUAGGCGGUUCGUUAUGUCGGAUGUGAAAGCCCUCGGCUUAACCGGGGAAGUGCAUCCGAAACUGGCGAGCUUGAGUACUAAAGAGGGUCGCGGAAUUCCCGGUGUAGAGGUGAAAUUCGUAGAUAUCGGGAGGAACACCAGCGGCGAAGGCGGCGACCUGGGUAGAUACUGACGCUGAGGUGCGAAAGCGUGGGGAGCAAACAGG